Molecule: transfer RNA, 69 nt
Filed under: Capra hircus (goat)
Lineage: Eukaryota; Metazoa; Chordata; Mammalia; Artiodactyla; Bovidae
Also listed under: 1 other name
Rfam family: tRNA
About the family: Transfer RNA (tRNA) molecules are approximately 80 nucleotides in length. Their secondary structure includes four short double-helical elements and three loops (D, anti-codon, and T loops).
Source: Rfam by way of RNAcentral
CCUGAUAGCUCAGUUGGUAAAGAGUCUGCCUGAAAUGCAGGAGACCCAGGUUUGAUUCCUGGGUCAGGA